GACGAACGCUGGCGGCGCGCCUAACACAUGCAAGUCGAACGAGAGAGAAGGAGCUUGCUUCUUUGAUCGAGUGGCGAACGGGUGAGUAACGCGUGAGGAACCUGCCUCAAAGAGGGGGACAACAGUUGGAAACGACUGCUAAUACCGCAUAAGCCCACAGGUCGGCAUCGACCAGAGGGAAAAGGAGCAAUCCGCUUUGAGAUGGCCUCGCGUCCGAUUAGCUAGUUGGUGAGGUAAUGGCCCACCAAGGCGACGAUCGGUAGCCGGACUGAGAGGUUGAACGGCCACAUUGGGACUGAGACACGGCCCAGACUCCUACGGGAGGCAGCAGUGGGGAAUAUUGCACAAUGGGGGAAACCCUGAUGCAGCGACGCCGCGUGGAGGAAGAAGGUCUUCGGAUUGUAAACUCCUGUUGUUGAGGAA
This 423-nucleotide ribosomal RNA is filed under the name uncultured bacterium. RNAcentral describes it as "bacterial SSU rRNA". It matches the Rfam family "Bacterial small subunit ribosomal RNA", at positions 28 to 446 of the family's 1533-position model. The record is from RNAcentral.